This 2384-nucleotide ribosomal RNA is filed under the name Escherichia coli. RNAcentral describes it as "bacterial LSU rRNA". It matches the Rfam family "Bacterial large subunit ribosomal RNA", at positions 457 to 2826 of the family's 2925-position model. The record is from RNAcentral. Lineage: Bacteria; Pseudomonadati; Pseudomonadota; Gammaproteobacteria; Enterobacterales; Enterobacteriaceae.
CCUCCAAGGCUAAAUACUCCUGACUGACCGAUAGUGAACCAGUACCGUGAGGGAAAGGCGAAAAGAACCCCGGCGAGGGGAGUGAAAAAGAACCUGAAACCGUGUACGUACAAGCAGUGGGAGCCUCUUAAUGGGGUGACUGCGUACCUUUUGUAUAAUGGGUCAGCGACUUAUAUUCUGUAGCAAGGUUAACCGAAUAGGGGAGCCGAAGGGAAACCGAGUCUUAACUGGGCGUUAAGUUGCAGGGUAUAGACCCGAAACCCGGUGAUCUAGCCAUGGGCAGGUUGAAGGUUGGGUAACACUAACUGGAGGACCGAACCGACUAAUGUUGAAAAAUUAGCGGAUGACUUGUGGCUGGGGGUGAAAGGCCAAUCAAACCGGGAGAUAGCUGGUUCUCCCCGAAAGCUAUUUAGGUAGCGCCUCGUGAAUUCAUCUCCGGGGGUAGAGCACUGUUUCGGCAAGGGGGUCAUCCCGACUUACCAACCCGAUGCAAACUGCGAAUACCGGAGAAUGUUAUCACGGGAGACACACGGCGGGUGCUAACGUCCGUCGUGAAGAGGGAAACAACCCAGACCGCCAGCUAAGGUCCCAAAGUCAUGGUUAAGUGGGAAACGAUGUGGGAAGGCCCAGACAGCCAGGAUGUUGGCUUAGAAGCAGCCAUCAUUUAAAGAAAGCGUAAUAGCUCACUGGUCGAGUCGGCCUGCGCGGAAGAUGUAACGGGGCUAAACCAUGCACCGAAGCUGCGGCAGCGACACUAUGUGUUGUUGGGUAGGGGAGCGUUCUGUAAGCCUGUGAAGGUGUACUGUGAGGUAUGCUGGAGGUAUCAGAAGUGCGAAUGCUGACAUAAGUAACGAUAAAGCGGGUGAAAAGCCCGCUCGCCGGAAGACCAAGGGUUCCUGUCCAACGUUAAUCGGGGCAGGGUGAGUCGACCCCUAAGGCGAGGCCGAAAGGCGUAGUCGAUGGGAAACAGGUUAAUAUUCCUGUACUUGGUGUUACUGCGAAGGGGGGACGGAGAAGGCUAUGUUGGCCGGGCGACGGUUGUCCCGGUUUAAGCGUGUAGGCUGGUUUUCCAGGCAAAUCCGGAAAAUCAAGGCUGAGGCGUGAUGACGAGGCACUACGGUGCUGAAGCGACAAAUGCCCUGCUUCCAGGAAAAGCCUCUAAGCAUCAGGUAACAUCAAAUCGUACCCCAAACCGACACAGGUGGUCAGGUAGAGAAUACCAAGGCGCUUGAGAGAACUCGGGUGAAGGAACUAGGCAAAAUGGUGCCGUAACUUCGGGAGAAGGCACGCUGAUAUGUAGGUGAAGCGACUUGCUCGUGGAGCUGAAAUCAGUCGAAGAUACCAGCUGGCUGCAACUGUUUAUUAAAAACACAGCACUGUGCAAACACGAAAGUGGACGUAUACGGUGUGACGCCUGCCCGGUGCCGGAAGGUUAAUUGAUGGGGUUAGCGGUAACGCGAAGCUCUUGAUCGAAGCCCCGGUAAACGGCGGCCGUAACUAUAACGGUCCUAAGGUAGCGAAAUUCCUUGUCGGGUAAGUUCCGACCUGCACGAAUGGCGUAAUGAUGGCCAGGCUGUCUCCACCCGAGACUCAGUGAAAUUGAACUCGCUGUGAAGAUGCAGUGUACCCGCGGCAAGACGGAAAGACCCCGUGAACCUUUACUAUAGCUUGACACUGAACAUUGAGCCUUGAUGUGUAGGAUAGGUGGGAGGCUUUGAAGUGUGGACGCCAGUCUGCAUGGAGCCGACCUUGAAAUACCACCCUUUAAUGUUUGAUGUUCUAACGUGGGCCCCUUACCGGGGUUGCGGACAGUGUCUGGUGGGUAGUUUGACUGGGGCGGUCUCCUCCUAAAGAGUAACGGAGGAGCACGAAGGUUGGCUAAUCCUGGUCGGACAUCAGGAGGUUAGUGCAAUGGCAUAAGCCAGCUUGACUGCGAGCGUGACGGCGCGAGCAGGUGCGAAAGCAGGUCAUAGUGAUCCGGUGGUUCUGAAUGGAAGGGCCAUCGCUCAACGGAUAAAAGGUACUCCGGGGAUAACAGGCUGAUACCGCCCAAGAGUUCAUAUCGACGGCGGUGUUUGGCACCUCGAUGUCGGCUCAUCACAUCCUGGGGCUGAAGUAGGUCCCAAGGGUAUGGCUGUUCGCCAUUUAAAGUGGUACGCGAGCUGGGUUUAGAACGUCGUGAGACAGUUCGGUCCCUAUCUGCCGUGGGCGCUGGAGAACUGAGGGGGGCUGCUCCUAGUACGAGAGGACCGGAGUGGACGCAUCACUGGUGUUCGGGUUGUCAUGCCAAUGGCACUGCCCGGUAGCUAAAUGCGGAAGAGAUAAGUGCUGAAAGCAUCUAAGCACGAAACUUGCCCCGAGAUGAGUUCUCCCUGACUCCUUGA